Molecule: ribosomal RNA, 354 nt
Filed under: uncultured bacterium
Lineage: Bacteria
Description: partial 16S ribosomal RNA
Rfam family: Bacterial small subunit ribosomal RNA
Source: RNAcentral
CCUACGGGUGGCAGCAGUGAGGAAUAUUGGUCAAUGGUCGGGAGACUGAACCAGCCAAGCCGCGUGAGGGAGGAAGGUACAGAGUAUCGUAAACCUCUUUUGUCAGGGAACAAAGACUGGGACGCGUCCCCGGAUGAGUGUACCUGAAGAAAAAGCAUCGGCUAACUCCGUGCCAGCAGCCGCGGUCAUACGGAGGAUGCGAGCGUUAUCCGGAUUUAUUGGGUUUAAAGGGUGCGCAGGCGGUCUGUUAAGUCAGGGGUCAAAGCCCGGGGCUAAACCCCGGCCCGCCGUUGAAACUGGCAGUCUCGAGUUGGAGAGAAGGAUGCGGAAUGGGCGGGGGAGGGGUGAAAUGCA